Molecule: ribosomal RNA, 694 nt
Filed under: uncultured Clostridium sp.
Lineage: Bacteria; Bacillati; Bacillota; Clostridia; Eubacteriales; Clostridiaceae
Description: bacterial SSU rRNA
Rfam family: Bacterial small subunit ribosomal RNA
Source: RNAcentral
GAUGAACGCUGGCGGCGUGCCUAACACAUGCAAGCCGAGCGAUCUUCUUCGGAAGGGAGCGGCGGACGGGUGAGUAACGCGUGGGUAACCUGCCCUGUACACACGGAUAACAUACCGAAAGGUAUGCUAAUACGGGAUAACAUAAGAAAGUCGCAUGGAUUUCUUAUCAAAGCUUUUGCGGUACAGGAUGGACCCGCGUCUGAUUAGCUAGUUGGUAAGGUAACGGCUUACCAAGGCGACGAUCAGUAGCCGACCUGAGAGGGUGAUCGGCCACAUUGGAACUGAGACACGGUCCAAACUCCUACGGGAGGCAGCAGUGGGGAAUAUUGCACAAUGGGCGAAAGCCUGAUGCAGCAACGCCGCGUGAGCGAUGAAGGCCUUCGGGUCGUAAAGCUCUGUCCUCAAGGAAGAUAAUGACGGUACUUGAGGAGGAAGCCCCGGCUAACUACGUGCCAGCAGCCGCGGUAAUACGUAGGGGGCUAGCGUUAUCCGGAAUUACUGGGCGUAAAGGGUGCGUAGGCGGUCUUUCAAGUCAGAAGUGAAAGGCUACGGCUCAACCGUAGUAAGCUUUUGAAACUGUAAGACUUGAGUGCAGGAGAGGAGAGUGGAAUUCCUAGUGUAGCGGUGAAAUGCGUAGAUAUUAGGAGGAACACCAGUUGCGAAGGCGGCUCUCUGGACUGUAACUGACGCUGAG